CAACACCCAGAAAUCAAUGAACAACUACCUCACAAAAAAUACACCUUCUAGCUAGCAUAUGCUUUAAUAGAUAACCAUUGUGCCGGUGCACAUUUAGUACAAACUACAAAAGCCAUCCUAAAAAGGGAAACAUAAUAGUUGAUGAAAACACAAAGAAGCAUCAUUUUAAGCUUCUUUGGAACAACUUGGCAAUUGACACCCA
RNAcentral lists this long non-coding RNA (202 nucleotides) under Elaeis guineensis (African oil palm). RNAcentral describes it as "long non-coding RNA (EGUI_LNC007857)". The record is from RNAcentral. Lineage: Eukaryota; Viridiplantae; Streptophyta; Magnoliopsida; Arecales; Arecaceae.